Actinomortierella wolfii is the source of this 72-nucleotide non-coding RNA. NCBI's taxonomy places the organism in Eukaryota, Fungi, Mortierellomycota, Mortierellomycetes, Mortierellales, Mortierellaceae. The record is from the annotation of a GenBank genome assembly.
GGGAGUUUAGUCUAGAGGUAUGAUACUUGCUUUGGGUGCAAGUGGUCCUGGGUUCGAUCCCCAGAACUCCCC